GAGUGUGCUGCUCUAUAUGUCUUUCUCCCUCUGUUUAUGUGCGUCUCUAUCUUUCUCUGUCUUUGUCUAUGCUUUCGUAGCUCACCAAAGCUCCGCGUCUCAGUCGCCUCCAACACAUCUUCCUCCUUCUCGGUUCAAGCUCCUCUGCCACUGGGUUCCUCGUCUCAGCCUCCAGUUCUACCUAGACAUUGUGUUUCCCUAUCAGUUUCUCAAGCCUGCCGACCUCAAUUGACUGAUGUCCAUGAGCUCAGCUUGUCUUCCUCCUCAAUUAGCAUAGCAGCGGCUCGACAUUAGCUCCUCCAUGAGCUCUCUUGGCGUCGUCUACAUGUUAGUCACCCUCAUUUGCCUCCUCCUCUCUACUUCCACAAGUUCGAUGCCUACUUGAGGAUCAACCUAGGCCUCGCGCUCUUCGUGAUAGCCCUUCUUGUCAUCCCCAUCAUGGAAACUGUGUACUUAAAGGGUUGUUCAGGAUGCUUUAGGUGGUCUGUUGCUUCACUAAUUUUUCUUCAAAUUUUCAAAUUGCUAUAUUUUAUGGCUUUAGGUGGUCUGUUGCUUCAUAAUUUUUCUUCAAAUUUUCAAAUUACUAUAUUUUCUGAAUUUAGGGUUUGCUGUUGUAGCUUCAAUUUCAACCUUUUUCUACAAUAGGACUAUUAUUUGGUAAAAACUUUUCUGGUGAAUUUAGUGAAGUGCGUCGACAACAUUUUUCGAGACUGGGUUCUUGGGGAUAAUUGGAUCAGUUCAUAAGUCAUGUCGAUGUACCUUUAGCAAUCUGUGUACUGCAGUUUCAGAUUAUGAUAUAAUUUAUCACCCAAUUUCGAGCUUGAAUGGAGCUAUGAACUCUAACUUGAUCGCUUGAGGCGAGGUUUCACUGACUUUGGUGUUUUUAGACCUUUGUGUGCAAUCUCAGCCGGAUAACAAGGUCGAGACAGUAGAAUACUUGGAGAAGAAGAAGAAGGAAGAGAAGGGAAUCAAAUAAGUGAAUGUCCCACGCUGUUUCAUGGCCAAGGCUCACAUUUCCAUUUCUAAUUUCAUCCACGGUUGAUUCAUUUAAUUAUGCACUCCAUUGACUGGCUUAAUCUCCUGUAUCCUGCAAAGAGUUAAUUCAAGAUUUCUCCGGAGCCUCUUAAAUUCUAAUUUAUUGUUGAUGGGGAGUUGUGGUAAUUCUUAAAUGCAUGUUCUUGAGAAUUUAUCUAUAGAGAAGAGAAGAGGAAGAACAACCAUUGAAGGAGAACUUGUGCUAGUUUCAAAGUUUCUGAGACAAGGGACAAGAACGGCGUGAAGAAGAAAAUUCGAAAAGAAAAAGAACUACCUGAAGAAGCAAUUCAAGCUGAAGUCGCUGCAUAACAAGUGUAAAUUUGUUUCAUAUGUAUUUGGCUUUGUCGGGUCUUGUGAGUAUAGGAUUCCUAAAUUAUUAUGCAAUGACUUUGAGCAUAAUUAUUCAGGUUCCCAAUUUGAUUUAUGUGUAAUUAUACUUUUCCAUAUUGCAAUUUAGGUGACUACU
Non-coding RNA from Punica granatum (pomegranate), 1501 nucleotides. The record is from RefSeq and is a predicted model, not a curated record. Lineage: Eukaryota; Viridiplantae; Streptophyta; Magnoliopsida; Myrtales; Lythraceae.